Molecule: long non-coding RNA, 1911 nt
Filed under: Macaca fascicularis (crab-eating macaque)
Lineage: Eukaryota; Metazoa; Chordata; Mammalia; Primates; Cercopithecidae
Description: lncRNA (ENSMFAG00000056142.1)
Source: RNAcentral
GGGCUCCAUUUGGCAGUUUUCAUCUGAGGUCUCUCAUACAGAGGCAAUCAGCCUAUGGCUGGGUUGAGGUUGUCUUAAGAACUUUUCAUUCAUGUUCAGUGCCUGGGCUGGGAGGAUUCAAACACCUGGGUGUUAGAACAGCUGGAGUUCCCUGGGCGGCUCUCUCUGCCUCUCAUCUCUCCAUGUGGUCUCUGCAUGUGCUGGCCUCAGGGCAGCCAGACUGCUCACGUGGUGACUGAAAGCUCAGAGCAGUUGUCCCGAGAGGGAGCAGGCGGAAACAGAAUCACCUUUUAGGACCUAACAUCACAAAUCACACUUUGGCCGUGCCCUACUAGCCAAGACUGUCACACAAGCCCAGGUUCAAGGGGAAGAAAUAUACAUGGCACCUCUUGAGGAGGAAUCAAUGAGGUUCUUAGAUAACAUGGGAAACAGUGUGGUCAAUUAUUUUUGCAAAAUACACUCCACCACCUAGACUUCUGUGGCACACUCUCACCUCCAAUGCACACACACACACACAACAAACAGAAUUCUUGCUUGAUAACGUAGUGAAAUACCAUGAGGCUAAUAGUGCAAAGUUUCCUGAAAUGCCUCCAAAAGCUCUCACAGUUGUGCUGUAGUUACUUUGUAAAUGACCAUGUUAGACAAAUAAAAUCGAGUUCAUAAAAAGAUGUCUUAGUGCCUUUAGCACAUCAAGAGGCAGAAAGAAUCUCAGAAGCCUCGUUGCUCAAAAUAGGGCUUAUGGACCAGGAGCAUCGCGUCAUUUGGGCGCUGGUUAGGAACGCGGACGCUCAGGCCCCACACGGACCUGCUGAGUUAGCAUCAUCCCCAGGUGAUCUGCAUGCACAUCAAGCAUUGUCUUAGAGGACUGUGCAGUAUGGAGUGUUCGCUAAACAAAUGUGUCUGUGGAGUCCUACCCUGGGCACUUCCUGGGAUUACUGGAAAUCCACUUUGGGAUCCCUGUGAUGUGAGUGUUCAUAGGGACCUGCAGCCGCCCCCACACCAUGCCCGCCUCUCUAAAUCGUCUGCCAAGAAAACUUGAUGGCUCAGAUCUCACGCCUGAGAGGAGUGAAAAAAAGCCUCCUGGCACCUAACCACCUGGCUCUCUAAACUCUUCUCACCCUCCCCACAGCCCACCGGGGCGUGGGAAGGUGGGCUCUUUUCAUAGCUUCCUUUCCUAUUUGGUUAGAAUUUCCCCUACACCAUCAUCUAAUUUAUACUUCAUUCUUCACUGCACCCUGGUGCCCAGGGCUAGUCACAUAGGAGGGAGUCCAUCAGAAUCUGUGCAAUGAAAGAAUAAGUGGGCUGGAUGCAGUGGCUCACACCAGUAAUCCCAACACUUUGGGAGGCCAAGGCAGGAAGAUUGCUUGAGGCUAGAAGUUCAAGACCAGCCUGGGCAACAUAGCAAGAAUCUACCUUUACAAUUUUUUUUUUUUAAACCAGCCAUGUAUGGUAGUGCAUGCCUGUAGUUCCAGCUACUCAGGAGGCUGAGGCAGGAGGAUUGCUUGAGCCCAGGAGAUCAAAGAUCUAGUGAGCCAUGAUCACACCACUGCACUCCAGCUUAGAUGACAAAGUAAGUCCCUGUCUCUAAGAAAAAAAAAAGUGGGGGUGAGUGUGGUGGCUCAUGCCUGUAAUCCCACUGCUUCGGGAGGUUGAGGCAAGAGGAUCGCUUGAGACCAGGAGUUCGAGACCAGCCUGUGCAGCAUGGCAAGACCCCAUAUGCACAGAAAUUGUUUUUAAAACAUUAGCCAGACAUGGUGGCACAUGCCUGUAAUCCUAGCUACUUGGGAGACUGAGGCAGAAGGAUCAUUUGAGCCCAGGAGGUGGAGGCUGCAGUGAGCUAUGAUCACACUACUGUACUUCAGCCUGGGAGACAGAGCAACACCCUGUCUCAAAAAAAAAAAAAAAAAAAAA